CCUACGGGAGGCAGCAGUGGGGAAUAUUGGACAAUGGGCGCAAGCCUGAUCCAGCCAUGCCGCGUGUGUGAAGAAGGCCUUCGGGUUGUAAAGCACUUUUAUCCGGAAAGAAAAGCUUUGGGUUAAUACCCUGAAGUCAUGACGGUACCGGAAGAAUAAGCACCGGCUAACUUCGUGCCAGCAGCCGCGGUAAUACGAAGGGUGCAAGCGUUACUCGGAAUUACUGGGCGUAAAGCGUGCGUAGGUGGUUUGUUAAGUCUGAUGUGAAAGCCCUAGGCUCAACCUGGGAAUUGCAUUGGAUACUGGCAGGCUAGAGUGCGGUAGAGGAUAGUGGAAUUCCCGGUGUAGCAGUGAAAUGCGUAGAGAUCGGGAGGAACAUCUGUGGCGAAGGCGACUAUCUGGGCCAGCACUGACACUGAGGCACGAAAGCGUGGGGAGCAAACAGGAUUAGAUACCCUGGUAGUCCACGCCCUAAACGAUGCGAACUGGAUGUUGGGUGCAACUAGGCACUCAGUAUCGAAGCUAACGCGUUAAGUUCGCCGCCUGGGGAGUACGGUCGCAAGACUGAAACUCAAAUGAAUUGACGG
Molecule: ribosomal RNA, 587 nt
Filed under: uncultured bacterium
Lineage: Bacteria
Description: bacterial SSU rRNA
Rfam family: Bacterial small subunit ribosomal RNA
Source: RNAcentral